This 433-nucleotide ribosomal RNA is filed under the name uncultured bacterium. Its description in RNAcentral is "partial 16S ribosomal RNA". It matches the Rfam family "Bacterial small subunit ribosomal RNA", at positions 29 to 507 of the family's 1533-position model. The record is from RNAcentral.
AACGAACGCUGGCGGCAUGCCUAACACAUGCAAGUCGAACGAGACCUUCGGGUCUAGUGGCGCACGGGUGCGUAACGCGUGGGAACCUGCCCUUAGGUUCGGAAUAACUCCCCGAAAGGGGUGCUAAUACCGGAUAAUGUCUUCGGACCAAAGAUUUAUCGCCUUUGGAUGGGCCCGCGUUGGAUUAGCUAGUUGGUAGGGUAAAAGCAUACCAAGGCGACGAUCCAUAGCUGGUCUGAGAGGAUGAUCAGCCGCACUGGGACUGAGACACGGCCCAGACUGCGACGGGAGGCAGCAGUGGGGAAUAUUGGACAAUGGGCGAAAGCCUGAUCCAGCAAUGCCGCGUGAGUGAUGAAGGCCUUAGGGUUGUAAAGCUCUUUUACCCGGGAUGAUAAUGACAGUACCGGGAGAAUAAGCACCGGCUAACUCCGUG